GGAAUUUAAAGACGGCUGCUAUUGGAGUCGAACAAGGUGGCAGCUUGCGAAAUAUACAUAGACACACGCAGGAGUUGGAAAAAGAAAGAAGGCGGCUGGGGAGAGACGCACGCAACAAGAGAGAAAAAAGGUGGCGGCUGAAUUGGGCUGAUAAUCGAGUAACGAACACGCAAAUGGAAGAGAAUUUUGAACAAGCAGCACGGACUGCAGUUUCACUUUGAAAAAUUAUCACGUUACAUUGGAUGAUUUUCUUUCACUUUUAUUUGUUUG
This 270-nucleotide long non-coding RNA is filed under the name Olea europaea subsp. europaea. Lineage: Eukaryota; Viridiplantae; Streptophyta; Magnoliopsida; Lamiales; Oleaceae. The record is from RNAcentral.